AUGCCGUGUCGUCCGCGGCCGAGGGAGCAGCCCCGGGCGGGGCUCAGGGCUCAGUGCCCGGCCCGCCGCCCCCACCCCCGGCCGCGCCUCGGCCGAACAAAGGCGGCGGUGGCAGCGGGGCCGCUCCGUGCGGUGCGAGCACGGCGAGGGGCGAGCCCGCACAGACCCGCGCCUGACGGCGUUGGGAGGGCCCCACGCCCCGGCCCGGCCCCACUCAGCGGCGCGUCGGGAGGAAGCGCCGGCCGCGCGGCCGCCAGCCCCUCGGCUCGCCCGCCCCCCGUCUCCUCCCCUCCGCAGCCGAUCCUCCGCCCCCUCCUCCUCCUCCUCCCGCUGGCGGCGGCGGCGGCUUUCUCGGCCCCGGCUCCCGGCUUUUCUCCGCGGCUUCGCCUCGCUCCUCAGCGGGAGGCUCCGCGCCGCGCCGCGCCGGCGAGGACGGCAGUGCUGCAAGGAGCCUCUGGGAGUUCCAGGGAGAAGAGACCAGCCUCUGUUUGGAGACCUUUGCUACGGGUCAAGACCUCCAAGCAGGUCAGGCAGACGUAGCAGGAGCUUGGAAGUUUUACAUCAAGAGCAAAUCAUUUCCUGGGAUGUUGCCACCUCGCUGAAGGAACUCGAUGCAGCCUGCAAACCACACAGGGGUUAUGCAAGCAGAAAAAAAAGAAGGUAAAAUAUUGGGAAAGGUGGCUAUUCGUAUUGUGUGUGCACAGAGAAGUUAUGGGGAUUAACCAGGUUGAACACCUUUGAGUAAGGAUAGCUACACAAAACCAGUGCAAACACUCUCCUCCACUUAGGAGGGACAGAGCUGAAGAUGUAAAACUAAAUCUCUCUCUCUGCUACUGACAGUGGCUCUUGGGAAAUUUAGAGGCUCAAGGAACUGUUGAAAUUUGGCUUUUUUCCCAAAACCCCACCGCAGAAACAGCAGUCAGCAGCACUACCACAGGGAGGAAAGCUUGGGAACACCCUCCUUACAGUAAAUGGCAUAAUUCUGUCUAUGGCUUAGUGCAGUAUUGCCAGUGCUGUCCUCUGAGCAAGGUGGAGGCUGUGUGGUCCAUAUACUAAUGCAGGGCGUACUCUCAUUUGUCCUAAUGCAAAUACCUACUUUAAUGAUUCAUCUCUGGCUUGACACGAGGUGCAGAUGUGUUUGCCUGGCUGGUGAAGUGCUUGGAUGCUGCUUCAAAGCAAAUUCCCAUUGUACAGUGGAGCCAUUGUUCAUUUUCUCUCCCAGAGAGCUGAGAAGAAAAAACUUUUCCUUCACAGAUAUUGCUCUGAAAAGCCCAGCAGUUACUCAGUUCUAAGGGAUUAUAGUAUUUGCUCUGGAGCACUGGGAACUGGCUGCAUUCAGUGCAGUAGGGAAGAGAAAUUGUACCCGAGCUGGCACCCUUAGUAGCUGAUCCUGGCAGGCAAACCCUGUGAUUCAAUGCUAUGUUAGUAAGCAGGCUCCAUGCAAGGGGGGACAGGAGAAUAAGGUAACAGCUAGAGCACAACAGCAUGCAGCCAAAGACAUUUUCUGGCCAUGAUAAUCAUCUACUAGCAUAACUACUGUGGGCAAUGUGCUUUUCUGAUCUGAAG
Molecule: long non-coding RNA, 1566 nt
Filed under: Numida meleagris (helmeted guineafowl)
Lineage: Eukaryota; Metazoa; Chordata; Aves; Galliformes; Numididae
Description: lncRNA (ENSNMEG00000013730.1)
Source: RNAcentral